UUAAUAAAAUCCAAUUUAUUCUAAAAAUCAUGCUAUGAAGUCAACUUUAUACAAUAAAUAACUUUAAAAUUUAAUGAAGACUUAUUUCUGAAAAAUAAGUUUUAUCCACUCAUAAGGUAUGAGCUACAAGCUAGAUAGGCUGAUAGACGUUUCCAAUCGCCUCGUUACCUCCUGAAAUACGAUAAUGAUAACCAAUUUAUCCACUAUCAAAUCAAAAAACCUUAAUAUCUAAUAAUAGAACAUAAUUUAAAUGCUCUUGGUACUUAAAUAAAUUCUCAAAUUUCCCUUUAUUAAUUGGAGCUAAUCACACCUUAUAAUCCCUUGGUUAAUCACUAAUUUAUCAACAUAACCAUCAUUUCAAAUUUAAAACUAAUUUUACUAUCCAAUCUAAUGAAACUAAUAACCACAAUUCCACCCACAUAAUAUACAUUUGUUCCAUAAAAUCAAUUCCCAAGUGAAAUAUUUCAUUUACAUAAUCACUUCACAAUUAAUUGAUUAAAAUCCCCAAAAUCGGAUUCUAGGGUUUUUCCAAAAAUUUGACAUCUCCAUACCUUGCUAAAAACUUGAAAUGAAUAAAUCCCCACACUUGAGCUCCAAUUCGUGCAAAUAUCCCUAAAAUUCGACAUAUUAUUCAACAAGUUAAAACCCUAAAAAUUUUAACAUAAUUCAUACUUUAUCACCUAAAACAAAUGGAAAAUUUCAACCCAACUUGAAGAUAUCAACCUUACCUCCUUUCCUCUUCUUUUUCCCUUCUUCUUUUCCUUUCUCUUUUCCUUUUUCCCUUCUUCUUUUCCUCUUUUUCUCCUUCUUUCUCGGUCUCUGCUUCUUCCCGUAAGUU
This 838-nucleotide long non-coding RNA is filed under the name Olea europaea (common olive). Its description in RNAcentral is "long non-coding RNA (OEUR_LNC007889)". Lineage: Eukaryota; Viridiplantae; Streptophyta; Magnoliopsida; Lamiales; Oleaceae. The record is from RNAcentral.